AUCUGCCCUGCACUUCGGGAUAAGCCUGGGAAACUGGGUCUAAUACCGGAUAGGACCUCGGGAUGCAUGUUCCGGGGUGGAAAGGUUUUCCGGUGCAGGAUGGGCCCGCGGCCUAUCAGCUUGUUGGUGGGGUAACGGCCCACCAAGGCGACGACGGGUAGCCGGCCUGAGAGGGCGACCGGCCACACUGGGACUGAGACACGGCCCAGACUCCUACGGGAGGCAGCAGUGGGGAAUAUUGCACAAUGGGCGCAAGCCUGAUGCAGCGACGCCGCGUGAGGGAUGACGGCCUUCGGGUUGUAAACCUCUUUCAGUACCGACGAAGCGCGAGUGACGGUAGGUACAGAAGAAGCACCGGCCAACUACGUGCCAGCAGCCGCGGUAAUACGUAGGGUGCGAGCGUUGUCCGGAAUUACUGGGCGUAAAGAGCUCGUAGGCGGUUUGUCGCGUCGUCUGUGAAAACCCGCAGCUCAACUGCGGGCUUGCAGGCGAUACGGGCAGACUUGAGUACUGCAGGGGAGACUGGAAUUCCUGGUGUAGCGGUGAAAUGCGCAGAUAUCAGGAGGAACACCGGUGGCGAAGGCGGGUCUCUGGGCAGUAACUGACGCUGAGGAGCGAAAGCGUGGGUAGCGAACAGGAUUAGAUACCCUGGUAGUCCACGCCGU
RNAcentral lists this ribosomal RNA (665 nucleotides) under Rhodococcus ruber. Its description in RNAcentral is "bacterial SSU rRNA". It matches the Rfam family "Bacterial small subunit ribosomal RNA", at positions 124 to 803 of the family's 1533-position model. The record is from RNAcentral. Lineage: Bacteria; Bacillati; Actinomycetota; Actinomycetes; Mycobacteriales; Nocardiaceae.